Molecule: long non-coding RNA, 2431 nt
Filed under: Monomorium pharaonis (pharaoh ant)
Lineage: Eukaryota; Metazoa; Arthropoda; Insecta; Hymenoptera; Formicidae
Description: uncharacterized LOC105839722
Source: RNAcentral
CCCCGGGUUUAUUACAUAUAUCGGCAUCAAUUAGUUAAAACGCAUCGACCUCUGUGCUCCGAAGUGAGCGGAGGAUCGCGUUGCGCCGCGCCGCGCGCACUAUCGUCUGCUGGGGAUUGGAGAAUAGAUCGCGUCGUGUUUUUCGCCGUGUCGACUGCAGUUGUCGGGUUGACUUUCUGUUGUUACUUCUCGAGUCCGCGGAGUUAAAGCGAGCGGAAAACGGAGAGACCUCUGCACGCCGCGUGCGUCAUCCCGACGUCGAACUAAUUAGGACGCUGUUUUCUUCGCCGGGCGCAAAAUAAACGCCGUUGGUGUCGUGUCACUAUGUGUGCUCUUACUUUGCUACAAAGGACGAAUUAAAAUUUUUAGAGGAACCGUUAGAAUGCGUGAUCUCGAUUAAGCGCCGGAAUGCACGACGGAGAUUCAUUAAAAUCGUUGAUGUGACGAGCUAAAUAACAAAAGCGGAAAAAUAAUGAAGGUAUUGAACAGAUGAAGUAUAUAUAAUAUAUACAUAUAUAAAUAUUCAUAAAAAUACUUAUAAGAUCUAUGUAAUUUUAAAAUGUAAAAUAAAAGUAAAUUUGCGAAUGUUAACGCAAAAAAUGUCGCAAUAUCAUUUAUUGUGCAAUUCAGAUAAUUGCAUGUGUAUUGCGAAAGAAAAAGCAAGACAAGUAUUUGAAACAUGUUUUUUAUAUAAGAAACUCAAGUAUUUAAGAACAGUGUAACAUAAUGACGAAAAUUUCUUAAAAUAGUAUAAUACUGUAAAACGAAUUUAUUAUUUUUAUUAAUUAUUAUUCAAAGAAUUUUAAGCAUUAAAAAUGUGAAAAAAAUUGAAAAUUGAAGUUUUGAUUAACCGAAUAUUAUAGAUAUGUUUAAACACACAUCAUUGCUUCGCAUAAACUUAUAUUUAAAGAUUAUAAUAAUCUAAUAUUUUACGAUAUCUAUAUAUCUUCAGAUUUUUGGUGCGCAAAACAUAUACAACAUUAAUUAUAUGUAUACGUCAAAAGCGAUCAUUUAUUUAAUGUGAAGGACAAAUUAAAUUGUGCAUCGUAACUUAUACACUAAGAUUAUUGCUCAAGCAUAAGACUAAUUCUCAAAUAAAGUACAUCGAUUAAACUUGUAAAUUUUACUUUUUUAUAAGAGCAAGUGAAUGUUUAGUGAUAUAUGUGGUGAUAAUUCGAAUUACACUGUAUCGAUUACCGAAUAAGAAAUAAACAUUUGAAAUUGUUAUAUUUUUGCAAUAUUUUUGGUAUAAUUUUUAUUGUAAUUAUAGAUGGUUCCAGGAGAAACUGGCAACUAUAUUACAACGAAAAGAUCGAUAUGGAUAUAUAUCUACUUUAAAUAUAAAGUGAAAGCGGAUAAUAUGGAAUAGAGCCUUAUUUUUUUAAAGAAAGCAUUAUAAUCAUGCAGGCAGCAAUCGUUGCAAGUUGUUACAAUUAUUGCAAAACAUGCUGUAAUGAACGGAUUCGUAAAUUCAUUUUUUAUUUAUUUUAAAUUUAUUUCUUAUGUUAAAUAAUUUUUAUUUUAUAUAAAUUGUGAUUUUUAAUUAUUUAAAUAUGAACAUUUUCAUACUUGUUGUAAAUAAUAAUAUUUAUUAUAUAUAUAAAUAGUAAUAUUUAUUUUACAUAUCUACUAAUAAUAAUUUAAAAAUUAAUUUAAUAUUUUUUGUUGCAAUAAAAUUAUUUUACUUUUCUCAUAACUUUGUAUAGUAAAGAUAUAAACUAGUUUUUAAUCAAUUUGCAUAAAUAAGUCCGCGUUUUAUUUCUUGUGUUAUCUAUUACUGUUUCUAAAAUUUGAUCUGUAUAUUUUUACUUUUUAGUUCACACUUGAUUUUACUUUAAAAAUUUUUUUAAUACUAAAUUUAAACUUAUGAUUAAAUUUUUGAGGUACCUACUAAUAACAAUCAAUAUAUUCUUAAUAUAUAUUGUUAAGAGUCCCACAUAAAUUAUAAUUAAGUUCUACAUGUUUAUCGGAAUAAUAUUGAUUCAAAAACGUUAUUCCAUAUUAUCUAUCUGCUUUUUCUUAUAUUAAAGCACACAUAAUUAUAAUUUAAACAAUGUAUUUUAUCAAUAUUAAUUAAUUGUAAUUUUACAUUAACUUAUUAUAUAAUUUAUUAGUUGUUGUCCAACGUUCCUCAUAAAGCAAAAUAGUUUAUACAACUUAGAUCUUUAAGAGAAAUAAAACUUAAACAAAAUUAUUACAGUUUAUGUAGUGUAUAUAAUGUAAAUUUAACAACCUACGAUUUUUUGUUCUAUUCAAUGUUCUAGCAAUAUUUUAUUUCAGAAGAACGUUGUACAUUACAAUUUGAUGUCACUAAUAGUAGAAAUGGCGCACUUAAUUUUAAUAUUUGAGGCAUUAAUAUUUGUUAAUUAAUAAUAUCAAAGUAUAGCAAAUGUAAAUAUUAUUGGAAAUAAAUAUUUAAAAAUUAAUUUAA